AGUGAACGCUGGCGGUAGGCCUAACACAUGCAAGUCGAACGGCAGCACAGUAAGAGCUUGCUCUUACGGGUGGCGAGUGGCGGACGGGUGAGGAAUACAUCGGAAUCUACUUUUUCGUGGGGGAUAACGUAGGGAAACUUACGCUAAUACCGCAUACGACCUACGGGUGAAAGCAGGGGAUCUUCGGACCUUGCGCGAUUGAAUGAGCCGAUGUCGGAUUAGCUAGUUGGCGGGGUAAAGGCCCACCAAGGCGACGAUCCGUAGCUGGUCUGAGAGGAUGAUCAGCCACACUGGAACUGAGACACGGUCCAGACUCCUACGGGAGGCAGCAGUGGGGAAUAUUGGACAAUGGGCGCAAGCCUGAUCCAGCCAUACCGCGUGGGUGAAGAAGGCCUUCGGGUUGUAAAGCCCUUUUGUUGGGAAAGAAAAGCAGCAGGUUAAUACCCCGCUGUUCUGACGGUACCAAAAGAAUAAACACCGGCUAACUUCGU
RNAcentral lists this ribosomal RNA (491 nucleotides) under uncultured bacterium. RNAcentral's name for it is "partial 16S ribosomal RNA". It matches the Rfam family "Bacterial small subunit ribosomal RNA", at positions 29 to 506 of the family's 1533-position model. The record is from RNAcentral.